This 871-nucleotide ribosomal RNA is filed under the name Cadophora sp. Its description in RNAcentral is "partial large subunit ribosomal RNA". It matches the Rfam family "Eukaryotic large subunit ribosomal RNA", at positions 43 to 932 of the family's 3401-position model. Lineage: Eukaryota; Fungi; Ascomycota; Leotiomycetes; Helotiales; Ploettnerulaceae. The record is from RNAcentral.
UCAAUAAGCGGAGGAAAAGAAACCAACAGGGAUUACCUCAGUAACGGCGAGUGAAGCGGUAACAGCUCAAAUUUGAAAGCUAGCUCUUUUAGGGUUCGCAUUGUAAUUUGUAGAAGAUGCUUCGGGUGUGGCCCCGGUCUAAGUUCCUUGGAACAGGACGUCAUAGAGGGUGAGAAUCCCGUAUGUGACUGGGUGCUUUCGCUCAUGUGAAGCUCUUUCGACGAGUCGAGUUGUUUGGGAAUGCAGCUCAAAAUGGGUGGUAAAUUUCAUCUAAAGCUAAAUAUUGGCCAGAGACCGAUAGCGCACAAGUAGAGUGAUCGAAAGAUGAAAAGCACUUUGGAAAGAGAGUUAAACAGUACGUGAAAUUGUUGAAAGGGAAGCGCUUGCAACCAGACUUGCGCGCUGAUGAUCAUCCGGGCUUCUGCCCGGUGCACUCGUCUGCGCUCAGGCCAGCAUCGGUUUCGGUGGUGGGAUAAAGGCCUUGGGAAUGUAGCUUCUUUCGGGGAGUGUUAUAGCCCUCGGUGCAAUGCCGCCUACCGGGACCGAGGACCGCGCUUCGGCUAGGAUGCUGGCGUAAUGGUUGUAAGCGACCCGUCUUGAAACACGGACCAAGGAGUCUAACAUCUAUGCGAGUGUUUGGGUGUCAAACCCAUACGCGUAAUGAAAGUGAACGGAGGUGAGAACCCUUAAGGGUGCAUCAUCGACCGAUCCUGAUGUCUUCGGAUGGAUUUGAGUAAGAGCAUAGCUGUUGGGACCCGAAAGAUGGUGAACUAUGCGUGAAUAGGGUGAAGCCAGAGGAAACUCUGGUGGAGGCUCGCAGCGGUUCUGACGUGCAAAUCGAUCGUCAAAUUUGCGUAUAGGGCGAAAGACU